This 435-nucleotide unclassified non-coding RNA is filed under the name uncultured Thelephoraceae. Its description in RNAcentral is "sequence contains ITS2". The stretch from base 1 to 156 matches the Rfam family "5.8S ribosomal RNA". The record is from RNAcentral. Lineage: Eukaryota; Fungi; Basidiomycota; Agaricomycetes; Thelephorales; Thelephoraceae.
AACUUUUGGCAAUGGAUCACUUGGCUCUCGCAUCGAUGAAGAACGCAGCGAAUUGCGAUAAGUAAUGUGAAUUGCAGUUUUUCAGUGAAUCAUCGAAUCUUUGAACGCACCUUGCGCCCCUUGGUUAUUCCUUGGGGCAUGCCUGUUUGAGUAUCAUGAACACCUCAACUCUCACGGUCUUCCGUGACGAGCUUGGACUUUGGAGGUCUUGCUGGCCUGUGGUCGGCUCCUCUCAAACGAAUCAGCUUGCCAGUGUUUGGUGGCAUCGCAGGUGUGAUAACUAUCUACGCUUGCGGUCCCCCACCAGGUAACCUUCAGUGAUGGAGGUUCGCUGGGGCUCACAAAUGCCUCUCCUCAGUGAGGAUGGCUUUUUGAACGUUUGAUCUCAAAUCAGGUAGGGCUACCCGCUGAACUUAAGCAUAUCAAUAAGCGGAG